UUCCUGGUGGCUCAGUGGUAAAGAAUCCACUUGCCAAGCAGGAGAUGCAGAUUUGAUCCCUGCUCAGGAAG
RNAcentral lists this transfer RNA (71 nucleotides) under Bos taurus (domestic cattle). It matches the Rfam family "tRNA". From Rfam's summary of the family: Transfer RNA (tRNA) molecules are approximately 80 nucleotides in length. Their secondary structure includes four short double-helical elements and three loops (D, anti-codon, and T loops). Lineage: Eukaryota; Metazoa; Chordata; Mammalia; Artiodactyla; Bovidae. The record is from Rfam by way of RNAcentral. RNAcentral also lists the same sequence under 3 other names.